Molecule: ribosomal RNA, 266 nt
Filed under: uncultured archaeon
Lineage: Archaea
Description: partial 16S ribosomal RNA
Rfam family: Archaeal small subunit ribosomal RNA
Source: RNAcentral
AGUCACUGACAUUAGAUACCCCCUGUAGUCCAGGGUGUAAACGCUGCAGACUUGGUGUUGGGAACCCUUCGGGGGUGCUCAGUGCCGGAGAGAAGUUGUUAAGUCUGCUACUUGGGGAGUACGUCCGCAAGGAUGAAACUUAAAGGAAUUGGCGGGGGAGCACCGCAACGGGAGGAGCGUGCGGUUUAAUUGGAUUCAACGCCGAAAAACUCACCAGCAGCGACUGUUACAUGAAAGUCAGGUUGAUGACCUUACUAGAUUUUCAG